Molecule: long non-coding RNA, 640 nt
Organism: Papaver somniferum (opium poppy)
Lineage: Eukaryota; Viridiplantae; Streptophyta; Magnoliopsida; Ranunculales; Papaveraceae
Exons: 4
Source: RefSeq, a predicted model, not a curated record
CAUUGCUCUGUAUAAACGAGGUUCAAUAAACUCCCUUUUGCUUCAAGUUCAUCCUAUCGAAUUGUAUUGAUAGGGUUUUGUUAUUUUGUGUUCUCGGAAGCGAAUUAAAACCAGGAGAAGUUCAGGAUGAAGCGAAUGUUAAUGUUACACAACACCCCUGUAUACUGUAUAGGCAUCUGUCGAUCAUGGAAACCACGUCAAUCCACAUGGUUUAUGAGCUACAUAUGGUGGUUUAUCACUGAACAGUGGGAAGUUCUUCCUCUGAUAUUUCAUGAGUAAGUUUUGUUAAUAUUAUAGGGGCUUACAGAAAACCACUUGACAACUGUGUUCUUGUUGUUCCCUUUCAAUUGCAGAUGCAUACACUUCAACGAUAUUACAUUUGGGACCUGCUGUGAAUUUUUAAAUUAAUAUCAAUGGCGUGGAGGAUCCGGUUGAAAUUGACUGCGCAAAGGGGUUCUAUGGAGAACACACAAUCUUUGGCUGGCAAACCUGCUGGAAUGUUCUACCUACUGGGUCUCAAGGUGGUGGUCAGGAAAGAACUGUGAAAUGUAGGAAGACUCCAUAGGCCCAUAAAAAAUAUCCCAUAAAAAACAAUUGGUUCAACUUUGAGCAUCUUAGGAGCACUGCAUUAGCUGAUAUA